This 253-nucleotide ribosomal RNA is filed under the name uncultured bacterium. Its description in RNAcentral is "partial 16S ribosomal RNA". It matches the Rfam family "Bacterial small subunit ribosomal RNA", at positions 524 to 776 of the family's 1533-position model. The record is from RNAcentral.
UACGAAGGGUGCAAGCGUUACUCGGAAUCACUGGGCGUAAAGCGUGCGUAGGCGGUUCGUUAAGUCUGCCGUGAAAGCCCUGGGCUCAACCUGGGAACUGCAGUGGAUACUGGCGGACUAGAGUGUGAUAGAGGAUGGUGGAAUUCCCGGUGUAGCGGUGAAAUGCGUAGAGAUCGGGAGGAACACCAGUGGCGAAGGCGGCCAUCUGGAUCAACACUGACGCUGAGGCACGAAAGCGUGGGGAGCAAACAGG